GAUCUGAUGGUGCAGUGGUUAGCACGUCUGCUCAGUAUAUACAUCUAUACUUGCAGUGUUAAGCCGGAGAUCCUCGUUCGACUCGGGGUCAGGUCA
Non-coding RNA from Mycena crocata, 96 nucleotides. The record is from the annotation of a GenBank genome assembly. NCBI's taxonomy places the organism in Eukaryota, Fungi, Basidiomycota, Agaricomycetes, Agaricales, Mycenaceae.